ACUACAACCUAAAACUUCUUACCUAGGAAUAUUGAAGACUCCUGUUAAAAGGAACCACCAGCUUUCAUAUGUUCUGAGCAAGGAACUUAAACAUUAGCUUUUUUACAUGGCACAUAUUGCACUUCUCCAACACUUUGGUUUUGCAUUAUUUAAACCAAAUUGAACAUGUUUCAUUAUUUGAGGAUACAUUGAUUUUAUUGAUGUAUUAUAUUAAGUAACAUAAGUGUUCAUUCAGUAUUGUAAUUGUCAUUAUUACAUAUAUGAAAUCAUCCGAUUAAUUGGUAUCUGCUUUUUUUGGUCCUCCAAUCAGUAUCAGCAUUAAAAUCAUAAUCGGUCGACCUCUAGUGGACACACCUACUCAUUCCAGGGUUUUUCUUCAUUUCAUGGUAGAAUAAUAGUGAAGACUAUGACAUGACACAUGGAAUCAUGUAACCAAAAAAGUGUAUUACAAAUCAAAAUAUAGUUUGCCUUUGCCUUGACAGAUUAGCGCACUUGGCAUUCUCUCAACCAGCUUCAUGAGGUAGUCCCCUGGAAUGAAUUUCAAUUAACAGGUUUGCCUGAAGUACAUUUUUAUGGAAUUUCUUUAAAUGCGUUUGAGCCAGUCACUUGUGUUGUGACAAGGUAGCCCUAUUUGGUAAAAUACCUUAUGGCAAUAAAAGUUCAAAUAAGCAAAGAGAAAGGAGUCCAUUAUUUUAAGACAUGAGUCAGUCAAUCUGGAAAAUGUAAAUAAUUUUAACGUUUCUAGAAGUGCAGUAGCAAAAACCAUGAAGCGCUAUGAAACUGGCUCUCAUGAGGACCGCCACAGAAAAUGAAGACCUAGAGUUACCUCUAAUGCAGAGGAUAAGUUCAUUAGAGUUGCGAGCCUCAAAUUGCAGCCCAAAUAAAUGCUACACAGAGUUCAAGUAACAAACACAUCUCAAAAUCAACUGUUCAGAGGAGACUGCGUGAAUCAGGCCUUCAUGGUCGAAUUGCUACAAAGAAACCACCACUAAAGGACAAUCAGACUUGUGCCAAAAAAACACGAGCAAUGGACAUUAGACCAGUGGAAAUCUGUCCUUUGGUUGAGACCAAAUAUGAGAUUUUUGGUUCCAACCACCGUGUCUUUCUGAGACAGUGUAUGUGAACGGAUGAGCUCUGCAUGUGUGGUUCCAACGGUGAAGCAUGUGUGUUGGAGGAGGUGUGAUGGUUUGGGGGUGCUUUGCUGGUGACACUUUCAGUGACUUAUUUAGAAUUCAAGGCACACUUAACCAGCAUGGCUUCUGCAGCGAUAUGCCAUCCCAUCUGGUUUGCGCUUAGUGGGACUAUCAUUUGUUUUUCAACAGGACAUUGACCCAACACAUCUCCAGGCUGUGUCAGGGCUUUUUGACCAAGGAGAGUGAUGGAGUGCUACAUCAGAUUCUGGCCACCACAAUCACCCAACUCAACCCACUUGAGAUUUGUUAGGGAAGAGUUAGACUGCAGAGUGAAGGAAAAGCAGCCAACAAGUGCUAAGCAUAUGUAGGAACUCCUUCCAGACUAUUGGAAAAGCAUUCCACGUGAAGCUGGUUCAGAGUGCCAAGCGUGUGCAAAGCUGUCAAGGCAAAGGGUGGCUACUCUGAAGAAUCUAAAAUAUGAAAUAUAUUGUGAUUUGUUUCAUACUUUUUUUGGUUACUACAUGAUUCCAUGUGUUAUUUCAUAUUUUUGAUGUCUUCACUAUUAUUCUACAAUGGAAAAACCCUUGAAUGAGUAGGUGUGUCCUAACCUUUAACUGGUACUGUACAUGUCAACAGACCGUGCAAGUACAUGGAUUCCUGGGCUUUAUCUCUAUACUCUGACCUGAGAAGACCAUUCAGAAAAGGGAGCAAUGAAAUGCCAUAAAAGUAUUUGAAGGUUUGCUUUUCCCUGCCCUGUACAGAAGCAGAUGGCAGUGUACCAAAAGCCUCCAUACACCCUAAUAAAAAAAACUUAAUAUAAAAAAAAAACUCAUAUUCCUUGAUGGAUACUUUUAAAUGCUUGUUCACAUACCAAUGUAAAAGGGAUGAGAAAAGUAUUUCACAACAUUGAGAGAGUCUGUACAGCCAGGUUCCAAACCACUUGACCUGUUCUAGACAUUCAUUAUAUCUGACCCAGAUCUCCAGGAUCAGGCCAGGUAGAAACAGAGGAAGAGUGGUGUUGUCAUCUCUGGGCUCUCUCUCCAGUCUCUGGGUCGACACCACUGUCCAGCUC
Molecule: long non-coding RNA, 2205 nt
Organism: Oncorhynchus tshawytscha (Chinook salmon)
Lineage: Eukaryota; Metazoa; Chordata; Actinopteri; Salmoniformes; Salmonidae
Source: Ensembl